UGUUCCCUGGGAUGUGCGCCAACCGGUCGCGUCCCCUGAGCCGAUGUUUUUUACGCAAGGGAAGUCUUCGUCAUGGUGGUGUGCAUGUCCGUUUUACGGAAAGCCUAAUACCAUGCAAGGUUUCCCACCUUGGACCCCUGGGUUCAAGGGUCAAGAUCGGUAGCGGCAUCCUGGAGAACGU
RNAcentral lists this non-coding RNA (181 nucleotides) under Pseudomonadales bacterium. RNAcentral describes it as "6S RNA". It matches the Rfam family "6S / SsrS RNA". From Rfam's summary of the family: E. coli 6S RNA was the first non coding RNA to be sequenced, but its function was unknown until recently. The record is from RNAcentral. Lineage: Bacteria; Pseudomonadati; Pseudomonadota; Gammaproteobacteria; Pseudomonadales.